RNAcentral lists this small RNA (107 nucleotides) under Marmota monax (woodchuck). Lineage: Eukaryota; Metazoa; Chordata; Mammalia; Rodentia; Sciuridae. The record is from RNAcentral.
GCCAGGCAUGGUGGCACACACCUGUAAUCCCAGUGACUCAGGAGGCUGAGGCAGGAGAAUUGAAAGUUUGAGGCCAGCCUCAGCAAUUUGUCGAGACCCUAUCUCAG